Molecule: long non-coding RNA, 392 nt
Organism: Oryzias melastigma (Indian medaka)
Lineage: Eukaryota; Metazoa; Chordata; Actinopteri; Beloniformes; Adrianichthyidae
Exons: 3
Source: RefSeq, a predicted model, not a curated record
ACGUUAAAUGAGCCAAUGUGUUAGUUUUACCUUUCCUGAGAAUAGUCCCCGUUUAGCUCCUCAAACGUCAUUCUGAACAUCAAAUCCAAAAGUCUCUUCUGGACCAAACUCCCAGCGGCGGAACUGACAGAUAUCUCUGAACCAAAUCUUGUCUGGGCCCGGCUGUGAGGAACAGAAUUGGACUCUCUGCUCUCUUGGUCUUCACUCAGUCAGGUGACAGAGACACUGGCUAAUCUUCACCCAUAAGGCCAUUCUUGGAAAAGUCAUCCAUUGGCACUAGAGGUUAGCGUUGGUCCCAUACUCACCGCAGCCCACCACCAUGCAUCAGGGAUGCUGCUGAAUGGAGUCCCGGGCUGGUCCACCUCCACAGAGUGCAUCAGUGCAGAGAAGGU